RNAcentral lists this transfer RNA (1003 nucleotides) under Mesorhizobium sp. ORS 3673. Its description in RNAcentral is "partial 16S-23S ribosomal RNA intergenic spacer". The stretch from base 306 to 379 matches the Rfam family "tRNA". Lineage: Bacteria; Pseudomonadati; Pseudomonadota; Alphaproteobacteria; Hyphomicrobiales; Phyllobacteriaceae. The record is from RNAcentral.
AUGGGUCCCCACCAGCGACGAGGCUUUUGCCGAGGAGCUUAAGGGUGGGGCAAAGACCCCUUUCGGUUCUCUUGGAACAAGACGGAAGAGAGUCACUCUUACCGUCGCGCAUACCUAAAGCGGGUCUGCCGCCUUCGUUUCUCUUUCUUCAGCGAAUGACUUUGGAUCAGCGCUCGCGCGCCGUACCGCAGCCCUUUGGGCUGCUGGCGCUCCGCGAGGGCGCGGCACGAGCCGCGACGGCCGGUCGGCCUUGCGAGGCUUCGCCUCGAGGUCAACAGCUUGUUACCGGCAGAGCGCGGUCUUUAGGGCUUGUAGCUCAGUUGGUUAGAGCGCGCGCUUGAUAAGCGUGAGGUCGGAGGUUCAAGUCCUCCCAGGCCCACCACUUCCUUUAACACGAAGGUUAUCAGGGGCCGUAGCUCAGCUGGGAGAGCGCCUGCUUUGCAAGCAGGAUGUCGUCGGUUCGAUCCCGUCCGGCUCCACCAACACGCGAUCUCGAAGAGAUCGUCGCUUCAGCCGCCACGUUGCGGUUUGGCAAGCGCGCGAUCCGCAGGAUCGUCGCGUCGAGGUGUUGAGCAGAGAUGGUGAGAAAAAAGUCAUUCGAAAAAGAGUUUGCGUCGAGCCUAGUGCUCCGCGCCUGUUCUGUUUGACAUCGUAAAGAGAAGAUUUGUUCGAACUUCAUGGCUGCAAAGCUGUGAUUUGUCGCAAGGGACGCUCAAUCCCUUGCCUAUGAUGGGUUUGCCUAACCGCGCCCUCGAACGGAUCUCGAGAAGCUGGUCUUUUUGUGCCAAUUCCAUUCGGUAAUGCCCCGCACAGGGUGUUGCUGGAGCGACGAUCCUUCGGAUCGCGCCUAGCUAAUCUCGCAAGAGAGAGGCUGAAGCGGACGAUCUCUUCGAGAUCGCGCGAUGGGUAUUGGGCAAUGAAAAACGAUCAAGUGUCUUAAGGGCAAUUGUAGAUGCCUUGGCAUGCACAGGCGAUGAAGGACGUGAUACGCUGCGAUAAGCUA